This 377-nucleotide ribosomal RNA is filed under the name uncultured bacterium. RNAcentral's name for it is "bacterial SSU rRNA". It matches the Rfam family "Bacterial small subunit ribosomal RNA", at positions 137 to 507 of the family's 1533-position model. The record is from RNAcentral.
AGGGGGAUAACUACUGGAAACGGUAGCUAAUACCGCAUAACGUCGCAAGACCAAGGAGGGGGACCUUCGGGCCGUCUUGCCAUCAGAUGUGCCCAGAUGGGAUUAGCUAGUAGGUGGGGUAACGGCUCGACCUAGGCGACGAUCCCUAGCUGGUCUGAGAGGAUGACCAGCCACACUGGAACUGAGACACGGUCCAGACUCCUACGGGAGGCAGCAGUGGGGAAUAUUGGCACAAUGGGCGCAAGCCUGAUGCAGCCAUGCCGCGUGUAUGAAGAAGGCCUUCGGGUUGUAAAGUACUUCAGCGGGGAGGAAGGGAGUAAAGUUAAUACCUUUGCUCAUUGACGUUACCCGCAGAAGAAGCACCGGCUAACUCCGUG